AGAGUUUGAUCCUGGCUCAGGAUGAACGCUGGCGGCGUGCUUAACACAUGCAAGUCGAACGAUGAAGCCCUUCGGGGUGGAUUAGUGGCGAACGGGUGAGUAACACGUGGGCAAUCUGCCCUUCACUCUGGGACAAGCCCUGGAAACGGGGUCUAAUACCGGAUAACACUCUGUCCCGCAUGGGACGGGGUUGAAAGCUCCGGCGGUGAAGGAUGAGCCCGCGGCCUAUCAGCUUGUUGGUGGGGUGAUGGCCUACCAAGGCGACGACGGGUAGCCGGCCUGAGAGGGCGACCGGCCACACUGGGACUGAGACACGGCCCAGACUCCUACGGGAGGCAGCAGUGGGGAAUAUUGCACAAUGGGCGAAAGCCUGAUGCAGCGACGCCGCGUGAGGGAUGACGGCCUUCGGGUUGUAAACCUCUUUCAGCAGGGAAGAAGCGAAAGUGACGGUACCUGCAGAAGAAGCGCCGGCUAACUACGUGCCAGCAGCCGCGGUAAUACGUAGGGCGCAAGCGUUGUCCGGAAUUAUUGGGCGUAAAGAGCUCGUAGGCGGCUUGUUGCGUCGGUUGUGAAAGCCCGGGGCUUAACCCCGGGUCUGCAGUCGAUACGGGCAGGCUAGAGUGUGGUAGGGGAGAUCGGAAUUCCUGGUGUAGCGGUGAAAUGCGCAGAUAUCAGGAGGAACACCGGUGGCGAAGGCGGAUCUCUGGGCCAUUACUGACGCUGAGGAGCGAAAGCGUGGGGAGCGAACAGGAUUAGAUACCCUGGUAGUCCACGCCGUAAACGUUGGGAACUAGGUGUUGGCGACAUUCCACGUCGUCGGUGCCGCAGCUAACGCAUUAAGUUCCCCGCCUGGGGAGUACGGCCGCAAGGCUAAAACUCAAAGGAAUUGACGG
This 893-nucleotide ribosomal RNA is filed under the name Streptomyces sp. E2BS11_pA. RNAcentral describes it as "bacterial SSU rRNA". It matches the Rfam family "Bacterial small subunit ribosomal RNA", at positions 8 to 916 of the family's 1533-position model. The record is from RNAcentral. Lineage: Bacteria; Bacillati; Actinomycetota; Actinomycetes; Kitasatosporales; Streptomycetaceae.